This 64-nucleotide transfer RNA is filed under the name Regioscalpellum regium. RNAcentral's name for it is "tRNA-Phe". It matches the Rfam family "tRNA". Rfam says of the family: Transfer RNA (tRNA) molecules are approximately 80 nucleotides in length. Their secondary structure includes four short double-helical elements and three loops (D, anti-codon, and T loops). Further hydrogen bonds mediate the characteristic L-shaped molecular structure. tRNAs have two regions of fundamental functional importance: the anti-codon, which is responsible for specific mRNA codon recognition, and the 3' end, to which the tRNAs corresponding amino acid is attached (by aminoacyl-tRNA synthetases). tRNAs cope with the degeneracy of the genetic code in two manners: having more than one tRNA (with a specific anti-codon) for a particular amino acid; and 'wobble' base-pairing, i.e. permitting non-standard base-pairing at the 3rd anti-codon position. The record is from RNAcentral. Lineage: Eukaryota; Metazoa; Arthropoda; Thecostraca; Scalpellidae.
AUUAAAAUAGCUCAAGAAGAGCAUUGCAUUGAAGCUGCAAAAGUAAUAUUAAUAUUUUUUGAUG